Molecule: ribosomal RNA, 253 nt
Filed under: uncultured bacterium
Lineage: Bacteria
Description: partial 16S ribosomal RNA
Rfam family: Bacterial small subunit ribosomal RNA
Source: RNAcentral
GACGAACCGUGCGAACGUUGUUCGGAAUCACUGGGCUUAAAGGGCGCGUAGGCGGUCUGCCAAGUCCGGGGUGAAAGCCCCCAGCUCAACUGGGGAAGUGCCUUGGAUACUGGUGGACUCGAGCGAGGCAGGGGUCGUGGGGACUUCCGGUGGAGCGGUGAAAUGCGUUGAUAUCGGAAGGAACGCCGAUGGCGAAAGCGCACGACUGGUCCUCUUCUGGCGCCGAGGCGCGAAAGCCAGGGGAGCAAACGGG